Long non-coding RNA from Platichthys flesus (European flounder), 1020 nucleotides. RefSeq lists it as uncharacterized. The transcript is spliced from 3 exons. The record is from RefSeq and is a predicted model, not a curated record. Lineage: Eukaryota; Metazoa; Chordata; Actinopteri; Pleuronectiformes; Pleuronectidae.
AAGAACCGGAGAACGGUUGGCGAGUCUGGAUGAGAGGACGGCGGCGGAGUCACUGUGGACGUUGUUCGCUCAGCAGGUUAGAGUGUGGGACUCAAAGCUUUUUUCCCCCGUCCGUCGUGUCUUUUCCUGUGUGAACUCUGCCGCUCUCAACAGCAGCACUGGCUAUGAGCUAGCUCCUGCUACCUCCAACGAAGCAUCUCUCAACUGCUACAAGGUCCAACUUGACACACAACUUGAAUCCAACCAGACUGAACACUGACUCCAGGGACAGACGAGCCUGAAGGACACAGCUGUGAUGACCAUGUUCUGUCUCUUAUGGCAAAGCAGAAAUAUAAAACACUGGGUUCUUAUCUAAAGUGUAUCAAAUCAGAUCUCCACCAUGUUGCUGCUGAGGACAUCAGGUGCUGCAGUUCUUCAUCUAUGAAGAGAAAAAACGCACUGUUAAAGAAUGUUUUGUGUUGUGUAUAAAGCACAACAGAUUUCAGAUAGAACUGUUGUACUGUGGUCUUGGUUUAUAUCCUCAUGGUGAAAUGUACAUAUUUUAAGUCCCUUCUGAUAAAAGUGCUGAAAGAAAUACAACAUUGUACAAAUACAUAAAAUGUCUUUCUACCUCAUCAGUACUAUUCAAGGUGAUAAUCUCCCACAGACCUAUUGAUAACAGUCCAAAUCAAGUCUUUCCACUUCUCUCAGUGUGAAAACAUAAUUCUAUAAUUAAUUUGAGAACUGUUUACAACACUGAUGUGUGGAGAUUAAAAUCAUACCUAAACUGUCUAAUUCACUGUAAAACUCCAUGACAUUCGCAGGCCAUCUGUAGUUAAGGGAGCAACGCAUGGAGUGAUGUGUAGAUUACUAGUUUGAUGAUGCAUGAGGAGAGGCGGUGGUCGAGUGGCAGAAACUUGGACUAUGGGCAGAGAAGGUCUCUGGUUCGUCUUUGGUUCGACUCCAUGGAGAGACAACAAAAGUCGCACCUGGAUUGAUCUGUCCAAAAAUCCAAGAGUCUCCCUACCCUCUCUAGUGCCC